ACUGGGAGGGGGGCGGCUCAGUCACCCGUCGCUCCGUCGUGGUUCUCCUUAGCCCGGGCCUUCCCAGGGCGCCUCGGGGGCCACCCCAAGCAACGCGCGCUCUCGCAGCCCCGCCCCACCCACUUGAGGCGGUGGCAAUCGCCAGUCAGCUCACUUCUCCUCCCCUCUUCGACCUCUUCUCUUUCACCCUCCUCGCCCUCAGCCGCCCCGAGCACUGCGCCAACCUGGAGCCCGAGGAUCUACGGUGGCCGGGCGAGCUGGAGGAGGAGGAAGUGGAGGUCGCGUCGCUGGCAACCGAGAGGGUGGAGGAGGCGACCUCGGAGUCGACCAUGAAGGUGGAAGAGGAAGAGGCGGGGCCUGAUGUGGACUCGGAUUUUAACUUCGCGUUCCAGCCGCGGGAGAGCGCGGACGAGGAGGAGGAAUACGAGAUGGCCAAGGCCUGGCUGGCGGCGCAACCAGGCUAGGUUUUUCCGCCGCCGCUGACCCCGAGGCACUUAUACGCUCCGGCGGAAUGGACGCCUGCGGAGCAGAGAGCAGAGAGGGACUCUUCCCAAUCUUUGGAUACAUCUCAAACCAGGAUUAACGUGAGAACAGAAGGAAUGGAAGUGAUAGAUUUUCCUUCCCUGGAGGAAGGUGAAUUGACCCAAUCGGAAGGUCCAGUACAGGAACCAAAGCUAGAUCUAUUGUGUUCACCAUUGCUAGUCGUACAGGAUAACUUUGCUACACCAGAUUUGCCUUUGCUGACAUGUUUGACACAAGACCAGGAGUUUGAGCCUGAUUCCUUAUUUCAACAACGUGAACUAGAAUUUGCACCUUUGAGGUAGGAUUAUUUAUUUGCCGUCUAACCUUUCUACUCUUACUGUAAAUUGUUAUUAGCGUAAAUGGCUUCAGGCUAACAUGAAAUUUGGGAGUAGGAGUUCCAUAUUCUUAGCAAAUAGCACACAUAUGUAACAAGGCCCUAAAUGAAGCAUAUUA
This is a long non-coding RNA of Nannospalax galili (Upper Galilee mountains blind mole rat), 975 nucleotides long. RefSeq lists it as uncharacterized. Lineage: Eukaryota; Metazoa; Chordata; Mammalia; Rodentia; Spalacidae. The record is from RefSeq and is a predicted model, not a curated record. The transcript is spliced from 3 exons.